GUGAAUCAUCGAAUCUUUGAACGCAAAUUGCACUCUCCGCGGAGAGGAUGAGUGUUUGAGGGUCAGACUAUAAAAAAACGACAUCGUGGCUGUUUCGCGGGGGCGGUGGUCGGAAAUUGGGUUAUCUUAAAUCUGUUGGUAUUAAGCGACUUAAAAUUUUCUUUUUGGUUCCAUGAACGAUUCUAAGAUUUAUUUCUUUACACGUUUAUGG
Molecule: unclassified non-coding RNA, 211 nt
Filed under: Glomus sp.
Lineage: Eukaryota; Fungi; Glomeromycota; Glomeromycetes; Glomerales; Glomeraceae
Description: partial internal transcribed spacer 2
Source: RNAcentral